CCUACGGGCGGCUGCAGUGGGGAAUAUUGCACAAUGGGCGCAAGCCUGAUGCAGCCAUGCCGCGUGUGUGAAGAAGGCCUUCGGGUUGUAAAGCACUUUCAGCGGGGAGGAAGGCGUUAAGGUUAAUAACCUUGUCGAUUGACGUUACCCGCAGAAGAAGCACCGGCUAACUCCGUGCCAGCAGCCGCGGUAAUACGGAGGGUGCAAGCGUUAAUCGGAAUUACUGGGCGUAAAGCGCACGCAGGCGGUCUGUCAAGUCGGAUGUGAAAUCCCCGGGCUCAACCUGGGAACUGCAUUCGAAACUGGCAGGCUAGAGUCUUGUAGAGGGGGGUAGAAUUCCAGGUGUAGCGGUGAAAUGCGUAGAGAUCUGGAGGAAUACCGGUGGCGAAGGCGGCCCCCUGGACAAAGACUGACGCUCAGGUGCGAAAGCGUGGGGAGCAAACAGGAUUAGAUACCCCAGUAGUC
RNAcentral lists this ribosomal RNA (465 nucleotides) under uncultured Klebsiella sp. RNAcentral describes it as "bacterial SSU rRNA". It matches the Rfam family "Bacterial small subunit ribosomal RNA", at positions 338 to 795 of the family's 1533-position model. The record is from RNAcentral. Lineage: Bacteria; Pseudomonadati; Pseudomonadota; Gammaproteobacteria; Enterobacterales; Enterobacteriaceae.